This is a small nucleolar RNA of Mercurialis annua (annual mercury), 94 nucleotides long. RefSeq annotates it as small nucleolar RNA R11/Z151. The transcript has a single exon. NCBI's taxonomy places the organism in Eukaryota, Viridiplantae, Streptophyta, Magnoliopsida, Malpighiales, Euphorbiaceae. The record is from RefSeq and is a predicted model, not a curated record.
GGGCUAAUGAUGAUAACAUAAAUUAUCUUAGCGGAUUUCAGUGAGGUGGAAUUAAUUUUCAUCAACGAUCUGAAUGUUACACACACUGAAGCCU